GCGACACGUGACCUGCCUGUGACCGAGACCUGCCUGUGACCGUGACCUGCCUGAGCUGACCAGUUGUGGAUGAAAAUAAUAGUGACGGUGAUGGUGGUGAUGGUGAUGGUGGCGUUGACGGAAGCGAUGGAAAAGGAAAAGAAAAAUGAAGAAGGAAAUGGCGGAGGCUCUGGCGAUGAUGGUUUCCUAAUGGCCACGUCAAAAGAGGGUCGACUGCACUACGAUUUACUGUUGAGGGGAGCACAAACGCCCAGCGGAGGGCGAGGCAAGAUGGAAGUGUACCGAGGCUCACUAGUUAAAACAAUAAACAGUCUGGAAAUCAA
Long non-coding RNA from Eriocheir sinensis (Chinese mitten crab), 323 nucleotides. RefSeq lists it as uncharacterized. NCBI's taxonomy places the organism in Eukaryota, Metazoa, Arthropoda, Malacostraca, Decapoda, Varunidae. The transcript has 3 exons. The record is from RefSeq and is a predicted model, not a curated record.